This 224-nucleotide ribosomal RNA is filed under the name uncultured bacterium. RNAcentral's name for it is "partial 16S ribosomal RNA". It matches the Rfam family "Bacterial small subunit ribosomal RNA", at positions 114 to 334 of the family's 1533-position model. The record is from RNAcentral.
AACGUGGGUAACCUGCCCAUCAGAAGGGGAUAACACUUGGAAACAGGUGCUAAUACCGUAUAACACUAUUUCCGCAUGGAAGAAAGUUGAAAGGCGCUUUUGCGUCACUGAUGGAUGGACCCGCGGUGCAUUAGCUAGUUGGUGAGGUAACGGCUCACCAAGGCCACGAUGCAUAGCCGACCUGAGAGGGUGAUCGGCCACACUGGGACUGAGACACGGCCCAG